CCUGUCAUGAGGGAACGAAACCUAGCACGUUUAACUGGUGUGCAGCUGAUAGUACCUCAAGAGGAAGAGACGGCUAACUCUGUGC
RNAcentral lists this ribosomal RNA (85 nucleotides) under uncultured bacterium. RNAcentral describes it as "partial 16S ribosomal RNA". The record is from RNAcentral.